RNAcentral lists this transfer RNA (68 nucleotides) under Symphurus orientalis (pygmy tongue-sole). RNAcentral describes it as "tRNA-His". It matches the Rfam family "tRNA". From Rfam's summary of the family: Transfer RNA (tRNA) molecules are approximately 80 nucleotides in length. Their secondary structure includes four short double-helical elements and three loops (D, anti-codon, and T loops). Further hydrogen bonds mediate the characteristic L-shaped molecular structure. tRNAs have two regions of fundamental functional importance: the anti-codon, which is responsible for specific mRNA codon recognition, and the 3' end, to which the tRNAs corresponding amino acid is attached (by aminoacyl-tRNA synthetases). tRNAs cope with the degeneracy of the genetic code in two manners: having more than one tRNA (with a specific anti-codon) for a particular amino acid; and 'wobble' base-pairing, i.e. permitting non-standard base-pairing at the 3rd anti-codon position. Lineage: Eukaryota; Metazoa; Chordata; Actinopteri; Pleuronectiformes; Cynoglossidae. The record is from RNAcentral.
GUAAAUAUAGUUUAUAAAAACAUUAGACUGUGACUCUGAAAAUAGGGGUUAAAACCCCCUUAUUCACC